UGGCGAACGGGUGAGUAACGCGUGAGGAACCUGCCUCAAAGAGGGGGACAACAGUUGGAAACGACUGCUAAUACCGCAUAAGCCCACGGGUCGGCAUCGACCUGAGGGAAAAGGAGCAAUCCGCUUUGAGAUGGCCUCGCGUCCGAUUAGCUAGUUGGCGAGGUAACGGCCCACCAAGGCGACGAUCGGUAGCCGGACUGAGAGGUUGAACGGCCACAUUGGGACUGAGACACGGCCCAG
RNAcentral lists this ribosomal RNA (240 nucleotides) under uncultured bacterium. RNAcentral's name for it is "partial 16S ribosomal RNA". It matches the Rfam family "Bacterial small subunit ribosomal RNA", at positions 96 to 334 of the family's 1533-position model. The record is from RNAcentral.